CCUCUUAUUCCGUUAAGAGUAGCCUACCGAAGCGUGCGUAGUUGGCAACGACUGGGUGCGAAGCCUUCGGGACAAUAUGGCGAGGUCUUGAACAUCACAAGACGCAGCUG
Molecule: non-coding RNA, 110 nt
Organism: Bacteroides fluxus YIT 12057
Lineage: Bacteria; Pseudomonadati; Bacteroidota; Bacteroidia; Bacteroidales; Bacteroidaceae
Source: Rfam